Molecule: non-coding RNA, 156 nt
Filed under: Nitratireductor sp.
Lineage: Bacteria; Pseudomonadati; Pseudomonadota; Alphaproteobacteria; Hyphomicrobiales; Phyllobacteriaceae
Also listed under: 2 other names
Description: 6S RNA
Rfam family: 6S / SsrS RNA
About the family: E. coli 6S RNA was the first non coding RNA to be sequenced, but its function was unknown until recently. It consists of 184 nucleotides that fold into an extended hairpin structure with a large single-stranded internal bulge.
Source: RNAcentral
CGGGUGCUGCCGGAUGCGUCAGGAACGCUAUUGCUCGGGGCCUUACGUUUCUCUAGGGAACUGUCCCUGGGGCGGGCCGUGGCCUGCUUCACACGGUGCCCACCUACUCUUGUAGGUCUCCGAGAAUCACUGUUCCAACGAUCCGGUGGGCCCACU